GAUGAACGCUGGCGGCGUGCCUAAUACAUGCAAGUCGAGCGAACAGAUGAGGAGCUUGCUCCUCUGACGUUAGCGGCGGACGGGUGAGUAACACGUGGAUAACCUACCUAUAAGACUGGGAUAACUUCGGGAAACCGGAGCUAAUACCGGAUAAUAUAUUGAACCGCAUGGUUCAAUAGUGAAAGACGGUUUUGCUGUCACUUAUAGAUGGAUCCGCGCCGCAUUAGCUAGUUGGUAAGGUAACGGCUUACCAAGGCAACGAUGCGUAGCCGACCUGAGAGGUGGAGGGGCCACACGGAAAGAAGAACACGGCCAAGACGCAAGGGGGAGGAAGAAGAGGGGAAUGUUCAAAAAGGGGCAAAAGCCUGAAGGACCAACGCGGCGGGAGAAAUGAAGGUUUUGGGAACAUAAAACUGUUUAAUAGGGAAAAAACAAAUGUGAAAGAACCUAUGCACUUUUAGGGGUUACCUAAAAAGAAAGCCAGGGCAACCUCCGUC
This 497-nucleotide ribosomal RNA is filed under the name uncultured bacterium. Its description in RNAcentral is "partial 16S ribosomal RNA". It matches the Rfam family "Bacterial small subunit ribosomal RNA", at positions 28 to 507 of the family's 1533-position model. The record is from RNAcentral.